Molecule: long non-coding RNA, 1629 nt
Organism: Symphalangus syndactylus (siamang)
Lineage: Eukaryota; Metazoa; Chordata; Mammalia; Primates; Hylobatidae
Source: RefSeq, a predicted model, not a curated record
GGAAUGUUCAUGAAGCAACGCAGGGUACAUGUGCAGGACGUGCAGGUUUGUUACAUAGGUAAACGUGUGCCAUGGUGGUUUGCUACACAGAUCAUCCCAUUACCCAGUGAAAUAGGGAAAUGAGAAGCAAGGUCUUCAACUGACAGUGAAGAUGAAAGAAGAGAUAUUGGAUGUUUGAAAAGAGAGAAGGUCACCAUCUAGAAGAAUGGAAGAGCAAGUGAACUAAGGAGAUAUAAUUGGGUUGCUGGGUAGUGCCAAGGAUCCACUUAGUACUAAUAGUCAUGAAUUUAGAGUGAUGCUCGUUAAUGUUUGUAUUUUUACUUUUCUCCAACACAUUAAAUUGCACCAGUGCCACCAUGGAGUUUGUGGAGAGUUGGACUGAACCAGCAUUGGGAUUUUGCCGGGUGAGUAAAAUGUAGCAAGAGAGGAGCAAAUGAGUUGAGUGUAUGGAAGUAAAUUACCAUGAUGACUGACCAUGGUAUUUAAGCCAAGUAAGGAGGGAGGCAAAGACUUAAAAUGUUGAGGAACAUGAAAAGGCUAGGAUCAACGGAUUUGGAUACUGAUUUAUUAGAAGAAUUAUUUGAGUUGGUGCUCCAGACUGAGUGAACAAGAGAGUUAGAAAAAUAAUUAUGGAAGAGUGAGGUGCUUGAAACUGAGAUUAUGGAGAGGCUACAAUUAUUGAUCAUGACAAAGUCUAGGUUGUGGCAAUAGUAGUCAGUAGCUGAGGUAAGAUGGAGAACAUGUUCAUUGAAAGAAAGGAGAUCCUGGAACUGAGUGCCCAGGAUUGUUGAAAAGGUCAUCCACAGAGAAUACUAAAAUAGCCAAGAAUUCUCAGAAAUAGUGUUGGAGUGAUAGCGAGCCACCCCUCAGCUACACUGGAUCUCCACGGGUCAUUCCCAACAGCAUGGGAAAACAGCAAUUCCUCCCACCUCAGAAAACUCUCCUGUGAUCUUAUAUCCCUGUCUAAUUACUGCCUCAUUUUUUUGCUACAGUUUAGAAUAAAACUUGAAAGGCAAUACUCUGUGUCAAAUACUUCUCCUUCCAUUCUAAUUUGAACCCUCCCCAAAUGGACUUUCAACCCAGCACCCCGCUAUAGAAAGAGACUCCAGACAUAGCAUCUAUAAAAUCAACCAACCUAGAAGCUUGACGGGGUAAUACAUGCACAAUACAAUUGGGCUGAUGCAGGAUGGUGUUAUAGACAAAUAACUUAAUUGAAUCAAAUCUGCUUUUUCCCUCCUGACUAGUUGAUAUAAAAUGAUCUGAUCAAUCUGUUUGUCUUUUCUAUUUCUAUUACUUUCAGGAUGAAAAUAGCAAUAACUCACUAGUGUUUACUUUUAACUCGAUCAUGAAUAUGUGGGCAAAAGAGUUUAUAUAUUAUUAUAUUGUAUUAAAAUAAUAUCCACUGUUUUCUUUCAAAAACACUUGGCUAAAUUAUUGUCGUACUUGUGAACAAAUGAAUAUUAAUUUUAACAUGAAAACAUACAAAAUUUUUUAUAAAUCUUCUUUGUUAAAUAUGAGAAAAUGAUCCUCUCAUUCAGGAGGGGUGGUAUUGUAAAUCGUAACAUUUGCACUGAUUAAACAUUUGCUGGUUCUAAGUAAUUCUGCAUGAUGAUUCAGAUGUGCCUUCUC